ACAUUAUUUCAAGUCCUACAUAAAGGGGAUUGGGACCCCAAAAUAGCCGGUGAUCCACGCGGAAUGCUGUGAAUUAUAUUACUACCACGAUUUAGCACUGGGUUCAUCUCUGAAAAUACAGCUCAAGACCUGCAUGAUUCGAGCUCCACAGCCUCCGCUGAAAAGCGUUGCCUAUCAAAGCAACACACAGAAAAAGCACCAAACAUGCCUGAUAAUAUAAAACCAAGCCAUACCCCCACAGGGUGAGACAAUCCAGUCAGCAAGAAAAAAAAAAAUCAUUGUUGGAAUUAUUUCUCCAUAAUGGAAAGCAAUUCUCUGUGAGUUGAGUUACAGGUCAUGACAUAAAACCAAAGAAAAAAAGAAAGAGCUCUAAGCAUUGACAGAUGUUCUGUGCUCGCUCCUGUCUCCUGAACCCCUCCGAGUCUCCAUCAGAAGGCAGCCUGACCUGCAGCCCCUUUCAAGCAACUUAGAAUCUGGAGAUCUCUCAUACAAAAGGUUUUACCCCUAAUUCCACUGAAGAGCCCCUCGAACCAAGCAAAAAUUUUCUCACAGGAGAAUUUAAGAGAGUCUAUGGAUUCAGGCUCGAUUUCAUAAUUUCCUCUCUGUACAAAAACCAGGGUAUUUAUUUCUCUUACGUAAUUUCCAGGGAAUCAGUUCCACGACCUGACUUGUAUUCUGUUGGUCUACUGAGGGGACCUUACCGUCAGUCAGUCACCCUUGGUGAGAACAUACCCAAGGGCUGAUAUAUGACUGCAAAGGAACUUAACAAUUCCUGGAAGGAAAAGGGUUAAGAGCCAGUAAAAACAGCAUAAAUUUACACAUGACCUAGUGUGAUUACACUUUUAUUCUCUUCCUUGCAAGAAACAACAACAAUGACAACCUCCAUAACUAAUGCUUCUGGUCUAAAAAACCUUCUCCCUAAAGGACAUGUUUUCACCCACUACCAAUGAUCUCAACAAAUUUCUGGAUAGAAAGGACCUGUAGACAGAGAGAUGUACUUGCCGGAUUUUUUCAUCAGCUGAAGAACAGGGGCAUCUGCUGCCACAGAGAGGAGAAGUUGCUCUUUUGCCUUUGGCCAUGGAUGUAUCAGGAUGGCCGUGUAUUCGCCUGGAGAGCCCAUAGAUGCCACUGACACAGCAGCUGCUCUGACAAUAGCCCAUCAAUGGCUCCUGGAAAAACCUAGUAGACUGGCAGCUUUCAUUGCAAAUAACCAGGAAAUAAGAAGAUAGUGCAUUUUAUAUUUUCAAGAGUGUUUCCUCUCCUGAAGCGUCCCCAGAGUUUCCAUUCCAGGCCUGAGAUGAGUGAUUACCCAGCACAGAUUGUCUUAUUUAUUUGGAAGACUCUCCAGCUCAGUCCAGCUGCUUUUUCUUGGGACAGCAGACAGACCCUGGACAUGGUAUCCUUUUACGUUACGGUAUUUACAAAGUAGAAUAAAUCAAUGAGACCCAACAGGAAAAGGCCAUAGUUUAUUUUAUUCAUUUUAUUUUUGUUUUUUCUACCAUCCCUGCUAGGUGCUCAGCAACUCAAUCUAUCGAAUUUCAAAACAUGUAGAGGUGUCGACAUAAGUCUCAAAACUCUGCACAGAGAAUCCCAAACCACAAGCUUGGACAUUUCCAAGGAAAGAAGCACAGGGUGGCAGGAUGAGGCAAGAGGCUGCUUACUCCAAGCCAAAUCUCAUGACCCAACCGCAUAGUCAUAAGAGGAGUGCGUUCAGUUGCUUUAGGAAACCAAGAGCAGUGAAAGAAAACACUUGGGAAUUUACUGGUAGAUAAGGUUUUUCUGAUUGAAGAAAAGGUACAAAGUAAUGCAGACCAAUGAUGGUUUCUGGGCAGCAUUAUGAUUAUGUCUUUUUAGGAAAAUGCCCCUUCUAGGGGACCUCACUUGCUGUCUGCCCACAGAUUUAUCUGGACUGAAUCUCAGUUACUAGUUUUUGCUUUCAAAGACCUCCUAUCUAGGGGAACAUUUGAAAAGAAUUUACCAAGUGCUUCCCUGCUGCAUAAUCUGUGUGUUCUGUGUUAACACUAACUUGCAUUUUGCAUGUGGAGCCAGCAGCUCUCCUCUCGGGAGCCUGGGUCAUACUGCUCCUUUAAAAAUGAAAGUGAGAGAGAGAGAGGGAGGCCACGCUGAUUUUAGAAUUGAGUCAGGGCUUUGUGAUUUAUAGAGUACCCAGGGUGAAUAGGCGUGGUUUCUAGAUAUCCACAGGCAAGUCUUACCUUAAAAGACACAGGACUUUGCACACGCCUUACAGAACAUUCAGAACAGAAGAAUCAAGGCUUGUAACCGAUGAGACUAAUAGAUAGAAUAUAUUAAACUGAGUAGAAUCUGGUGCCUAAAAAUUUACAUAAAAGUGGCCCGGAGAAUCCACUCAGCACAUGUCCUGGCCAACUCAGAAAUGAUGAAAUACAAAUAUUUAAAGAAAAAUCUGGAUUCCUUUGUGUGUAUUAAAAAUCCUCUCAAAUAUUCCAAAUGGAUGCAGUUUGGUCUCGGUGAGGGAUAGAGGGUCUGAGACAAUAUUAGCAAUUUUAUUUUUUGCCCGAGUUGUACAGUGCCUGCUUUAUCCAGGUUUCUGUGGAUUUUAGACCAUUCACCCUAGUGAAAGUCCCAAUAAAACACAGAAUGUAAUUAUGUUGGGGGGAAGAAAGAAGCAAAAGAGCAGUGGGCCUGGUUAAUCCUUUUAUCAAGGUCACUCCACCACCAGCAUCUCAGAGGGAUUUCCAGGCCAAAAGCAAUCGUUUGUGUGUGUGUCUUAGGAUAGUGGCAUGUCCUCAACUCCUUUGAAAGUAUGAGGUCAGGAGUUCGAGACCAGCCUGGCCAACAUGGUGAAACCCUGUCUCUACUAAAAAUACAAAACUUAGCUGGGUGUGGUGCAGGCCUGUAAUCCCAGCUACUGGGGAGGCUGAGGCAGGACAAUGGCUUGAACCUAGGAGGCAGAGGUUGCAGUGAGCUGAGAUCAUGACACUGCACUCUAGCCUGGGCAACAGAGCAAGACUGUCUCAAAAAAAAAAAAAAAAAAAAAGAAAGAAAAAAGCAAGAAAGAAAGCUAGCUGUUUGCACAGUGAUCAACUCCAUCAACUGUCAUGGACAAGUACAAGUUGGACCUAAGCUGUGCAUCGUUUUUUUUUUUUUUUUUACCAGCCUUGUUUCCUGGAUAAUUUCCCUUAGAUAUAUUGCUGUGUCAAUUAGAAAUCAUAUUUAUUUUCACUUAUGAAAAAGACGUCUGGAGAUAUGCAAUCUAGGGCUGCAGUCUUUCUUACCUUUCUAUUUUCCCUUGUAGCGGGUGUCCUUGAUUUGCAUUCUUACAAGGUGGCUUCAAGAGCAUAAGCUACCAAGUUAGAUGUCCAGAUGGAGAGAAAGGUGAGCAGAGAGAGGAACAGGGCAUGAGCCAGCCAAGUCAGCUUAAAAGCUUUCAUAAAAGCCGCACCCAUAGAUUCUUGCUAACAUCUUAUGUGCCAGAACUAUGCCAGUUAACCCUACCCUCCAGCAACCUGCAUCGGGACUGGAAAUACAGCUGUAUUUUUUUUUUUUUUUAAACCUGAACACAUUGUUUUCCAAUUAGGAAUUUGUUAGGGAAAAGAAGAUGAUGGGAGAGUCGAUGAAAUGGAAAUUUUAAAAAUCCACCUUACUAUGUUAUUGUGGGGAUUAAAUCCAUGCAUCAAUCACUUGAUAAUAUUCACUAAUCUGGUGGCACAUGAAAAUAAUAUUUUCUUCUCUCUCCUUAGUCUUACUCACUUUCCAGGGCCCCCUUCAGAAACUAUAGCACAUGGUGGAGCAAUACCUUGAUGCCACAAUUCAUUUUAAAUCUAUUUAACUUCAUUGAAUAAUUUCAUUUUGGGGGAAAAAGUGGAUGGCAUAAGAAAAAAUAUUCACCCAACUUCUCGUUAUUGGCAGGGCAUUUGAAACUAGAAUUGCCAUUUUACAUAGAACCUGCUUGUGAUACUUACAGAAGCAACUAAUUUUUACUUCAGAUAUACCUGUUGUACAAGCUGUUAAAAAACCCAUACAAAUGCUUUACAAUGCUGCCUAUGUUCUCUUUCUAUGAAGCAGCAUUCUUAUUUUUGGUGCGCUGUACCUAAUGCUGACCACAUCAGCAAAGAGAACUUAUACCACUGAAAAUAUAGGUAUAUGCACACAGUUUUUGCAUUAUUUUAAGAUCUUUAUUAUUAAGUAACUCAUUGGGGUUGUCAAAGUAUGUUAUAAAAUUACACAGAUAAUUAGAGAUAUAUAUUACAUAGAAAUGCUGAUUUUACACUCUCUUCUGAGUACAAGCAUUUGAUUAUAGAGGCUCAUAGCACAACCAAAUGUAUUUCACGGGACACCGAUGCCCCUAUUCUGAUAUUGACAAGGCAAACAUCAGCGGUAGCAGAGUCAACAAAGCAAAGCAAGA
Molecule: long non-coding RNA, 4384 nt
Organism: Gorilla gorilla gorilla (western lowland gorilla)
Lineage: Eukaryota; Metazoa; Chordata; Mammalia; Primates; Hominidae
Exons: 4
Source: RefSeq, a predicted model, not a curated record